UCCGAUAUGGUGUAGUGGCUAACAUUGCCGCCUCUCACUUUCGGUUCUGAGGAAUCGAACCCCGAGAUUUAAUUCGCGGCAGCCCUGGGUUCAAUUCCCAGUAUCGGAA
This is a transfer RNA of Schizopora paradoxa, 109 nucleotides long. It matches the Rfam family "tRNA". From Rfam's summary of the family: Transfer RNA (tRNA) molecules are approximately 80 nucleotides in length. Their secondary structure includes four short double-helical elements and three loops (D, anti-codon, and T loops). NCBI's taxonomy places the organism in Eukaryota, Fungi, Basidiomycota, Agaricomycetes, Hymenochaetales, Schizoporaceae. The record is from Rfam.